CUAGCAAUAACAACAAAACAUUUCCUUUCUUCAUGGGGUCCUGGUGCACAGUGGCUACAAACAGCAACCUCCUUGGUAUUGUGUGUGCCUGUUGUAUAUAUGAGUUGUCCUAAGGGACCUUGGAGACAGUU
This is a small nucleolar RNA of Nannospalax galili (Upper Galilee mountains blind mole rat), 131 nucleotides long. Its record names the gene SNORA70. It matches the Rfam family "Small nucleolar RNA SNORA70". Rfam says of the family: snoRNA U70 seems to be exclusive to mammals and is a member of the H/ACA class of snoRNA which contain H (ANANNA) and ACA box motifs. H/ACA box snoRNAs are involved in the conversion of uridines to pseudouridines (5-ribosyluracil) a constituent of structural RNAs (transfer, ribosomal, small nuclear, and small nucleolar). Lineage: Eukaryota; Metazoa; Chordata; Mammalia; Rodentia; Spalacidae. The record is from Ensembl.